CCAUUUUCGAUGUUGUUUUAAGCCCAUUUCUAGCCAUGUGAUGUGAAAUCUGCGCCGCUUUGAUUUCAAUAAAACCACACUGCUGUUCACAUCCAUACCUCAGUGACCAGUGAUAGUAGCAAUGUCAUAUCUACAAGCUAUUGAUGCUCAGCCUUGUUGCAGGGUGAUGAUCCUCUGCUCUCCAAAAGUCCCUCUGUGCUAGUUACUCCCUCUGCUUUUUCCUGUCAUAUUAAUAAGAUGUUUUCCCGGUGGACUCGGUUGCGGAAGUUCCCCAAACCCACUCAAGGGAAUCAACAUGACCUGGUGAAUGUCUGUGAUGAGCUCACUCCAGAUGAAUAUCAUGCACAAGAAUAAGAUACUGUUCAACAGGAACCCCAUUUCAUCCCAGUCCCAAUGACCCUAUUCAGCACGUAACUGUCUCCUAUGAGCAAAGUGACGGUUCCUUUGUGAAUGAUAAACCUAGACACGUCGCAGAAAAGGUAGGGUAACAGGAUCAGGUACAUUGGACUCCCUAACACUUUGGCACCAGACAGUUCAUGACAACCAAAAGAGCGAUGCAAACAUGAAGAGUUAGGGCUCGUAACCAAUGGGCGAAACCUAAGGCUGAGC
RNAcentral lists this small RNA (609 nucleotides) under Histoplasma capsulatum var. duboisii H88. Its description in RNAcentral is "Histoplasma capsulatum H88 hypothetical RNA". The record is from RNAcentral. Lineage: Eukaryota; Fungi; Ascomycota; Eurotiomycetes; Onygenales; Ajellomycetaceae.